AAAAGAUAUUGCUACCUCUAUAUUACACCAGUUAGGUCAGUCUAUACCUGAUAAUGUUCACCACUCAUGCACCAGUUGAUGAUGAGUCAGAAACUGAAGGGAAUCAGGCAAAGCGAAGAAAAGUAACACAGGAAUAAUUAUUAGUACUUUUUAAUUAGACCAUACACACACCUUUAUUCUUACAUGAGAGAUACAGCUAGCUUUAAUUAACUAGGUACAUAUAUACAACACAUAAGAAAGAAAAUAGGCAAAUGUUUUUAAUACUACAUGCAAAUUAAAUCUGCCACAAUUAC
This is a long non-coding RNA of Amphimedon queenslandica, 293 nucleotides long. RefSeq lists it as uncharacterized. The transcript has 3 exons. The record is from RefSeq and is a predicted model, not a curated record. NCBI's taxonomy places the organism in Eukaryota, Metazoa, Porifera, Demospongiae, Haplosclerida, Niphatidae.